UUCGGGUUGUAAAGUACUUUCAGCAGUGAGGAAGGUUCAUGCGUUAAUAGCGUAUGGAUUUGACGUUAGCUGCAGAAGAAGCACCGGCUAACUCCGUGCCAGCAGCCGCGGUAAUACGGAGGGUGCGAGCGUUAAUCGGAAUUACUGGGCGUAAAGCGCAUGCAGGUGGUUUGUUAAGUCAGAUGUGAAAGACCCGGGGCGUCAACCUCGGAAUUGCAUUUGAAACUGGCAGACUAGAGUACUGUAGAGGGGGGUAGGAAUUUCAGGUGUAGCGGUGAAAUGCGUAGAGAUCUGAAGGAAUACCGGUGGCGAAGGCGGCCCCCUGGACAGAUACUGACACUCAGAUGCGAAAGCGUGGGGAGCAAACAGGAUUAGAUACCCUGGUAG
This 387-nucleotide ribosomal RNA is filed under the name uncultured bacterium. RNAcentral's name for it is "bacterial SSU rRNA". It matches the Rfam family "Bacterial small subunit ribosomal RNA", at positions 417 to 793 of the family's 1533-position model. The record is from RNAcentral.